GACGAACUGUGCAAACGUUAUUCGGAAUCACUGGGCUUGAAGAGUGCGUAGGCGGUUUCGUAAGUAGGGUGUGAAAGCCCCCAGCUCAACUGGGGAACUGCGUCCUAAACUGCGAGGCUGGAGUGAGGUAGGGGUGUGUGGAACUUCCGGUGGAGCGGUGAAAUGUGUUGAUAUCGGAAGGAACGCCGGUGGCGAAAGCGACACACUGGGCCUUGUCUGACGCUGAGGCACGAAAGCCAGGGGAGCAAAC
RNAcentral lists this ribosomal RNA (250 nucleotides) under uncultured bacterium. RNAcentral's name for it is "partial 16S ribosomal RNA". It matches the Rfam family "Bacterial small subunit ribosomal RNA", at positions 524 to 773 of the family's 1533-position model. The record is from RNAcentral.